Molecule: long non-coding RNA, 275 nt
Organism: Oryzias melastigma (Indian medaka)
Lineage: Eukaryota; Metazoa; Chordata; Actinopteri; Beloniformes; Adrianichthyidae
Exons: 4
Source: RefSeq, a predicted model, not a curated record
CAUUAAUGCUGUCACCAUCCAGAGCUCUGUGCAACAUUGAUCCAAUCCUUUAUUAAUCGGAAGAGAAAAAGGACGAACUAUUAGCAAACGUGUGAAUAAACAUAUAAAAAGUAGGAGCUACUGAGAAAAAAAAGACUUCAGACACUUCACCAAAGUCGACGGUCAUUCAAGAUGCAGUUGUUGCUUUUACUUGUGGUACUGGGAACAGUAUCUGCUGGAGUUCAAGAUCUUUCUGGCAAAAUGUUUACCUUCCCACAGUUAACUAACUCAGCUCA